CCUACGGGUGGCAGCAGUGGGGAAUAUUGGACAAUGGGCGAAAGCCUGAUCCAGCCAUGCCGCGUGUGUGAAGAAGGCCUUCGGGUUGUAAAGCACUUUCAGUGGGGAAGAAAGCCUUGGGGCUAAUACCCUCGAGGAAGGACAUCACCCACAGAAGAAGCACCGGCUAACUCCGUGCCAGCAGCCGCGGUAAUACGGAGGGUGCGAGCGUUAAUCGGAAUUACUGGGCGUAAAGCGCGCGUAGGCGGUCUGAUAAGCCGGUUGUGAAAGCCCCGGGCUCAACCUGGGAACGGCAUCCGGAACUGUCAGGCUAGAGUGCAGGAGAGGAAGGUAGAAUUCCCGGUGUAGCGGUGAAAUGCGUAGAGAUCGGGAGGAAUACCAGUGGCGAAGGCGACCUUCUGGACUGACACUGACGCUGAGGUGCGAAAGCGUGGGUAGCAAACAGGAUUAGAUACCCGUGUAGUC
This 465-nucleotide ribosomal RNA is filed under the name Vreelandella stevensii. RNAcentral describes it as "partial 16S ribosomal RNA". It matches the Rfam family "Bacterial small subunit ribosomal RNA", at positions 338 to 795 of the family's 1533-position model. The record is from RNAcentral. Lineage: Bacteria; Pseudomonadati; Pseudomonadota; Gammaproteobacteria; Oceanospirillales; Halomonadaceae.